AACGAACGUUAGCGGUGUGGAUUAGGCAUGCAAGUCGAGCGCGAAAGCCGUAAGGCGAGUAGAGCGGCGAAAGGGUGAGUAACACGUAACCAACGUAUCCUUCAGAUCGGAAUAACUGCUGGAAACGGCAGGUAAUGCCGAAUGGUCCGGACGGGGGGCAUCCCCUGAUCGGUAAACGGUGGCGAAAGCUGCUGCUGGAGGAGCGGGGUGCGGCCUAUCAGCUAGUUGGCGGGGAACAGCCCACCAAGGCUACGACGGGUACCGGGUCUGAGAGGACGGUCCGGCACACUGGGACUGAGACACUGCCCAGACUCCUACGGGAGGCUGCAGUCGAGAAUCUUCCGCAAUGGGCGCAAGCCUGACGGAGCGACACCGCGUGCGGGAUGAAGGCC
Molecule: ribosomal RNA, 392 nt
Filed under: uncultured bacterium
Lineage: Bacteria
Description: bacterial SSU rRNA
Rfam family: Bacterial small subunit ribosomal RNA
Source: RNAcentral